Molecule: ribosomal RNA, 1333 nt
Filed under: uncultured Psychrobacter sp.
Lineage: Bacteria; Pseudomonadati; Pseudomonadota; Gammaproteobacteria; Moraxellales; Moraxellaceae
Description: bacterial SSU rRNA
Rfam family: Bacterial small subunit ribosomal RNA
Source: RNAcentral
GUAUUAAUACCGCAUACGACCUACGGGAGAAAGGGGGCAGUUUACUGCUCUCGCUAUUAGAUGAGCCUAAGUCGGAUUAGCUAGAUGGUGGGGUAAAGGCCUACCAUGGCGACGAUCUGUAGCUGGUCUGAGAGGAUGAUCAGCCACACCGGGACUGAGACACGGCCCGGACUCCUACGGGAGGCAGCAGUGGGGAAUAUUGGACAAUGGGGGAAACCCUGAUCCAGCCAUGCCGCGUGUGUGAAGAAGGCCUUUUGGUUGUAAAGCACUUUAAGCAGUGAAGAAGACUCCAUGGUUAAUACCCAUGGACGAUGACAUUAGCUGCAGAAUAAGCACCGGCUAACUCUGUGCCAGCAGCCGCGGUAAUACAGAGGGUGCAAGCGUUAAUCGGAAUUACUGGGCGUAAAGGGAGCGUAGGUGGCUCUAUAAGUCAGAUGUGAAAUCCCCGGGCUUAACCUGGGAACUGCAUCUGAAACUGUAGAGCUAGAGUAUGUGAGAGGAAGGUAGAAUUUCCAGGUGUAGCGGUGAAAUGCGUAGAGAUCUUGGAGGANANUNAACNNCGNANUGGGCGAAGGCAGCCNNUUCUGGCAUAAUAACUGAACACUGAGGCUCCGAAAGCGUGGGUAGCAAACAGGANUUAGAUACCCUGGUAGUCCACGCCGUAAANCGANUGUCUACUAGUCGUUGGGNUCCCUUNGAGGNACUUAGUGACGCAGCUNAACGCAAUAANGUAGACCGCCNUGGGGNAGUACGGCCGCAAGGUUAAAANCUCNAAAUGAAUUNGACNGGGGGNCCCNGCACAAGCNGGUGGAGCAUGUGGUUUAAUUCGAUGCAACGCGAAGAACCUUACCUGGUCUUGACAUAUCUAGAAUCCUGCAGAGAUGCGGGAGUGCCUUCGGGAAUUAGAAUACAGGUGCUGCAUGGCUGUCGUCAGCUCGUGUCGUGAGAUGUUGGGUUAAGUCCCGCAACGAGCGCAACCCUUGUCCUUAGUUACCAGCGGGUUAAGCCGGGAACUCUAAGGAUACUGCCAGUGACAAACUGGAGGAAGGCGGGGACGACGUCAAGUCAUCAUGGCCCUUACGACCAGGGCUACACACGUGCUACAAUGGUUAGGUACAGAGGGCAGCUACACAGCGAUGUGAUGCGAAUCUCAAAAAGCCUAUCGUAGUCCCAGAUUGGAGUCUGCAACUCGACUCCAUGAAAGUAAGGAAUCGCUAGUAAUCGCGGGAUCAUAAAUGCCGCGGUGAAUACGUUUUCCCGGGGCCUUGUACACACCCGCCCCGUUCACCACCAUGGGGAGUUGAUUGGCACAGAAAAGUGGGAUUAGCUUAAA